RNAcentral lists this ribosomal RNA (497 nucleotides) under uncultured Glomeromycotina. RNAcentral describes it as "partial small subunit ribosomal RNA". It matches the Rfam family "Eukaryotic small subunit ribosomal RNA", at positions 591 to 1092 of the family's 1831-position model. The record is from RNAcentral. Lineage: Eukaryota; Fungi; Glomeromycota.
CCACUAGCGUAUAUUAAAGUUGUUGCCGUUAAAAGGCUCGUAGUUGAAUUUUAGGCCUGACCGGGCGGUCCGUCUUUGGCGAGUACUGUCCUGUGUCGGGUCCACCUUCUGGUGAACCAGUAUGUCCUUUAUUGGGUUUGCCGGGGAGCCAGGACCAUUACCUUGAAAAAAUUAGAGUGUUUAAAGCAGGCAUUUGCUUGAAUAGAUUAGCUUGGAAUAAUAGAAUAGGACGUUGUGGUUCUAUUUUGUUGGUUUCUAGGACCACCGUAAUGAUUAAUAGGGAUAGUUGGGGGCAUUAGUAUUCAAUUGUCAGAGGUGAAAUUCUUGGAUUUAUUGAAGACUAACUAUUGCGAAAGCAUUUGCCAAGGAUGUUUUCAUUAAUCAAGAACGAAAGUUAGGGGAUCGAAGACGAUCAGAUACCGUCGUAGUCUUAACCAUAAACUAUGCCGACUAGGAAUCGGGCGACGUUAUUUUCAUGACUCGCUCGGCGCCUUAUG